RNAcentral lists this unclassified non-coding RNA (254 nucleotides) under Ascomycota sp. RNAcentral describes it as "partial contains small subunit ribosomal RNA, internal transcribed spacer 1, and 5.8S ribosomal RNA". The stretch from base 1 to 47 matches the Rfam family "Eukaryotic small subunit ribosomal RNA", at positions 1785 to 1831 of the family's 1831-position model. Lineage: Eukaryota; Fungi; Ascomycota. The record is from RNAcentral.
AAAGUCGUAACAAGGUUUCCGUAGGUGAACCUGCGGAAGGAUCAUUACCUUUCAAUGCAGAAGUCUUGGGUAGGCGGUGCAUUUUUAGCACGCUCUCUCAACUCUUCCUGUAUUACACCCUUGUCUCUUAAAAACCUUCGUUUCCUCGGUAGGCUUGCCUGCCGGCUGGAUUCAACUAUAACCUUUUUAAUUUUCAAUCAGCGUCUGAAUAAAAUUAAUAAUUACAACUUUCAACAACGGAUCUCUUGGUUCUG